RNAcentral lists this long non-coding RNA (346 nucleotides) under Populus trichocarpa (black cottonwood). RNAcentral describes it as "long non-coding RNA (PTRI_LNC001727)". The record is from RNAcentral. Lineage: Eukaryota; Viridiplantae; Streptophyta; Magnoliopsida; Malpighiales; Salicaceae.
AAAGUUUUCUUGGUUUUCAAUUUUAUUCUUCAAUCCAAGUUUAUAUUGUUUUAUUUUUUUAAUUUAGCCCUCAUUCUUUUUAUUUCCUUUUCUUUUUGUUAAUGAUUUUUUAUUUUCAAUUUAACCCUCCAAUUUAAUUUUUUUUGACGCCCUCUAAUUUAUUUUUUAUUUUUAUUUUCACCCACAUUCUUUUAAUUACAAUUUUUAUGUGAUUGAUUUUUUCUGACUUCAUCCUUCUGCAUUUGAUUUGUUAUGGAUUGAGCUUCGUGAUUUUUUCAUUUGUGGUGCUUUCGAUCUAAUGAUACAAAUAACGACUUUGAAGUUAAUGUGGUUCAGUAUCUUUUUU